AACAUGUCUUUUUGUUUAUAUUUAAAGUCUAACCUGCCCUCUGUAGUAUAAAUGGCCGCAGUAUUUUGACUGUGCUAAGGUAGCAUAAUCAUUAGUUUUUUAAUUGAAAGCUGGAAUGAAAGGUGAAUAAAAAAAUAUCUUUAUUUUAUUAAAAUAAUUAAAAUUUUAUUUUUAAGUUAAAAAGCUUAAAUUUUUAUUAAAGACGAGAAGACCCUAUAGAGUUUCAUAUAUUAUUUUUUAUUUUAUUUUAGUAUUUAAAUUGAUUAAUUUUUUAAUAUAUUAAAUUGGGGUGAUUUAAAAAUUUAUAUAACUUUUUUUAUAUUAUUAUAUUUUUUAUAAAUUUAUGAUCCUAGUUUUUAGAUUAUAAGAAUAAAUUACCUUAGGGAUAACAGCGUAAUUUUAUUAGAGAGUUCAAAUUGAAAAUAAAGAUUGCGACCUCGAUGUUGGAUUAAAAUUUAUUUUUGGUGUAGAAGCUAAAUAAUUAA
Molecule: ribosomal RNA, 485 nt
Filed under: Cangshanaltica sp. AFD-246
Lineage: Eukaryota; Metazoa; Arthropoda; Insecta; Coleoptera; Chrysomelidae
Description: partial large subunit ribosomal RNA
Source: RNAcentral